RNAcentral lists this ribosomal RNA (557 nucleotides) under uncultured bacterium. Its description in RNAcentral is "bacterial SSU rRNA". It matches the Rfam family "Bacterial small subunit ribosomal RNA", at positions 777 to 1343 of the family's 1533-position model. The record is from RNAcentral.
AAUAGAUACCCAGGUAGUCCACGCCGUAAACGAUGGAUGCUAGCUAUUGGGGGGAAUCGACCCCCUCCGAAGCGAAGCUAACGCGUUAAGCAUCCCGCCUGAGUAGUACGAGCGCAAGCUUAAAACUCAAAGGAAUUGACGGGGACCCGCACAAGCGGUGGAGCGUGUGGUUUAAUUCGAUGGUAAACGAAGAACCUUACCAAGGUUUGACAUCCCGGUAGCCGUUCUCCGAAAGGAGAAUUUCAUUUAGUUGGACCGGUGACAGGUGAUGCAUGGCCGUCGUCAGCUCGUGUCGUGAGAUGUUGGGUUAAGUCCCGCAACGAGCGCAACCCUUAUGAUUUAGUUGGAUUUUUCUAAACAGACUGCCCUGGUAACAGGGAGGAAGGAGGGGAUGAUGUCAGGUCAGUAUUUCCCUUACACCUUGGGCGACACACGCGCUACAAUGGCCGGUACAAUGGGCAGCUAAGCCGCGAGGUGGAGCAAAUCCCAUCAAAGCCGGUCCCAGUUCGGAUUGCAGGCUGAAACCCGCCUGCAUGAAGCCGGAAUCGCUAGUAACC